Molecule: long non-coding RNA, 245 nt
Organism: Amphibalanus amphitrite
Lineage: Eukaryota; Metazoa; Arthropoda; Thecostraca; Balanomorpha; Balanidae
Exons: 3
Source: RefSeq, a predicted model, not a curated record
AGAAUUGGAACUCGAUCAUCAUGAACAUGCCAGGUGACAGUGCACUGGUUUUAUUUGUAAAGGAAAACCCGUGCUUGUGGCAGCCCAAACACAAGGACUAUUUCAAUAAAACUGAAGCCAGAGCAUUAUGGGAGCGGUGUGCAGCUACUACUGGCCGUGAAGGAAAUGAGGCGAAGAAGAGAUGGCGCAACUUACGGGACUACUAUACAAAGAGACGAAAACAGCAACCGAGCGGAUCUGCGGGA